GCCUGUUGCUGCACUAUGGAUUCAUCCUCGCAGCUGCACGAUAAACCUUGAGGGGUUGAGGAAGAUCAGGGGGGCGUCUCCGUAACCCACCUUACUUACUAAUGCAGGUGCCAAGGGACGAGCGCAGAGUGGAGCGGAGGAGUGUGUCUGCCGAACACAUGACUGCUGGAGACUCUGAGGAGACAAGAGUAAAGAAAGAGAGG
Molecule: long non-coding RNA, 203 nt
Organism: Danio aesculapii
Lineage: Eukaryota; Metazoa; Chordata; Actinopteri; Cypriniformes; Danionidae
Exons: 3
Source: RefSeq, a predicted model, not a curated record